AACGAACGCUGGCGGCAUGCCUAACACAUGCAAGUCGAACGAGACCUUCGGGUCUAGUGGCGCACGGGUGCGUAACGCGUGGGAACCUGCUCUUAGGUUCGGAAUAACUCCCCGAAAGGGGUGCUAAUACCGGAUAAUGUCUUCGGACCAAAGAUUUAUCGCCUUUGGAUGGGCCCGCGUUGGAUUAGCUAGUUGGUAGGGUAAAAGCCUACCAAGGCGACGAUCCAUAGCUGGUCUGAGAGGAUGAUCAGCCACACUGGGACUGAGACACGGCCCAGACUACUACGGGAGGCAGCAGUGGGGAAUAUUGGACAAUGGGCGAAAGCCUGAUCAAGCAAUGCCGCGUGAGUGAUGAAGGCCUUAGGGUUGUAAAGCUCUUUUACCCGGGAUGAUAAUGACAGUACCGGGAGAAUAAGCUCCGGCUAACUCCGUG
Molecule: ribosomal RNA, 433 nt
Filed under: uncultured bacterium
Lineage: Bacteria
Description: partial 16S ribosomal RNA
Rfam family: Bacterial small subunit ribosomal RNA
Source: RNAcentral